CUCUUGCCUCGGCAAGGGGUAGAACCCAGGAAACAUUUCACCCAGUGGAAGGUUUAUUAUGAUGCUAAACACACCUUCGAUUGUAAGAAAAAAUUCCUAGGAAAAACGACAUGAUACACAUGUUGAUGAAUCCACGAAAGCUCGGUAGAGUGAAUGUUUAACAUCCAAACACUUUUUUGGAGGAAGGGACCUGUGCUACCGUCACGUUUUCCGAACUCUAAAUAAAACAGAAGGAACUUAGGGCUGACAUCUUCAACGUCACCAUGAGUCAAAGCCAACAUCUUGCUUUCUACGGCUUUGUUUAAAGAAACAGGUCUAUAGGUCCAAUCUAAGAAUGAAAAUAUUGAUCAAGAAAAAUAAUAACUUUCAUGACCGAAAAAUAAAAAUAAAGUAUAAUAUAUACAGAUAUAU
This is a long non-coding RNA of Tarenaya hassleriana, 411 nucleotides long. RefSeq lists it as uncharacterized. The transcript is spliced from 3 exons. NCBI's taxonomy places the organism in Eukaryota, Viridiplantae, Streptophyta, Magnoliopsida, Brassicales, Cleomaceae. The record is from RefSeq and is a predicted model, not a curated record.